UCCGACUAGUCCUUGCAACUUCUUGGCCUGACAAUCGGGAAAAGUUGGCCCAUGCCAGCUUUCCGACAGGGAUCAAACAGGACCCUGAACCAAAGCAGACGUGAAAAAGCUAAAGAAGGACGGAGUUCUGACUCAAGCAAGGGAGAGAACUUGGGAAGUAUGAGGAGAUGGUACUGAGAAAAUGAGGAGGGCUUUCCCACACUCUUUCCUCCACUUCUCCAUCGGGAAGCACUCACUGCUUGUGCAAACACCAUUCCUAAAGUAUUUUCAGGAUGCCUGGACAGUUACGUGUAUGGCCACUCUGAGGUGCUUCCGAACUCAGAGAAGAGUGUGAAUAUAACUCUCAAAUCCUCAAAGGAGAAUUGUGCCAAAACCCCAUUCAUCUUAGGAAGGCGCAGUAAAGGAAAGAAUUGCAGCCUACCCUAGAAAAGCAUAUUUUGCCUUUUCUUUCUGCCUUACUGCCCCUCCAGACCAGUAGUAUGGCAUUUUAAUGGGAGGAAGA
Long non-coding RNA from Equus quagga, 502 nucleotides. RefSeq lists it as uncharacterized. The transcript is spliced from 3 exons. The record is from RefSeq and is a predicted model, not a curated record. Lineage: Eukaryota; Metazoa; Chordata; Mammalia; Perissodactyla; Equidae.